GGGUUGUGAGGUUAAGCGACUAAGCGUACACGGUGGAUGCCCUGGCAGUCAGAGGCGAUGAAGGACGUGCUAAUCUGCGAUAAGCGUCGGUAAGGUGAUAUGAACCGUUAUAACCGGCGAUUUCCGAAUGGGGAAACCCAGUGUGUUUCGACACACUAUCAUUAACUGAAUCCAUAGGUUAAUGAGGCGAACCGGGGGAACUGAAACAUCUAAGUACCCCGAGGAAAAGAAAUCAACCGAGAUUCCCCCAGUAGCGGCGAGCGAACGGGGAGCAGCCCAGAGCCUGAAUCAGUGUGUGUGUUAGUGGAAGCGUCUGGAAAGGCGCGCGAUACAGGGUGACAGCCCCGUACACAAAAAUGCACAUAUUGUGAGCUCGAUGAGUAGGGCGGGACACGUGGUAUCCUGUCUGAAUAUGGGGGGACCAUCCUCCAAGGCUAAAUACUCCUGACUGACCGAUAGUGAACCAGUACCGUGAGGGAAAGGCGAAAAGAACCCCGGCGAGGGGAGUGAAAAAGAACCUGAAACCGUGUACGUACAAGCGGUGGGAGCACGCUUAGGCGUGUGACUGCGUACCUUUUGUAUAAUGGGUCAGCGACUUAUAUUCUGUAGCAAGGUUAACCGAAUAGGGAGCCGAAGGGAAACCGAGUCUUAACUGGGCGUUAAGUUGCAGGGUAUAGACCCGAAACCCGGUGAUCUAGCCAUGGGCAGGUUGAAGGUUGGGUAACACUAACUGGAGGACCGAACCGACUAAUGUUGAAAAAUUAGCGGAUGACUUGUGGCUGGGGGUGAAAGGCCAAUCAAACCGGGAGAUAGCUGGUUCUCCCCGAAAGCUAUUUAGGUAGCGCCUCGUGAAUUCAUCUCCGGGGGUAGAGCACUGUUUCGGCAAGGGGGUCAUCCCGACUUACCAACCCGAUGCAAACUGCGAAUACCGGAGAAUGUUAUCACGGGAGACACACGGCGGGUGCUAACGUCCGUCGUGAAGAGGGAAACAACCCAGACCGCCAGCUAAGGUCCCAAAGUCAUGGUUAAGUGGGAAACGAUGUGGGAAGGCCCAGACAGCCAGGAUGUUGGCUUAGAAGCAGCCAUCAUUUAAAGAAAGCGUAAUAGCUCACUGGUCGAGUCGGCCUGCGCGGAAGAUGUAACGGGGCUAAACCAUGCACCGAAGCUGCGGCAGCGACGCUUAUGCGUUGUUGGGUAGGGGAGCGUUCUGUAAGCCUGUGAAGGUGUGCUGUGAGGCAUGCUGGAGGUAUCAGAAGUGCGAAUGCUGACAUAAGUAACGAUAAAGCGGGUGAAAAGCCCGCUCGCCGGAAGACCAAGGGUUCCUGUCCAACGUUAAUCGGGGCAGGGUGAGUCGACCCCUAAGGCGAGGCCGAAAGGCGUAGUCGAUGGGAAACAGGUUAAUAUUCCUGUACUUGGUGUUACUGCGAAGGGGGGACGGAGAAGGCUAUGUUGGCCGGGCGACGGUUGUCCCGGUUUAAGCGUGUAGGCUGGUUUUCCAGGCAAAUCCGGAAAAUCAAGGCUGAGGCGUGAUGACGAGGCACUACGGUGCUGAAGCAACAAAUGCCCUGCUUCCAGGAAAAGCCUCUAAGCAUCAGGUAACAUCAAAUCGUACCCCAAACCGACACAGGUGGUCAGGUAGAGAAUACCAAGGCGCUUGAGAGAACUCGGGUGAAGGAACUAGGCAAAAUGGUGCCGUAACUUCGGGAGAAGGCACGCUGAUAUGUAGGUGAAGUCCCUCGCGGAUGGAGCUGAAAUCAGUCGAAGAUACCAGCUGGCUGCAACUGUUUAUUAAAAACACAGCACUGUGCAAACACGAAAGUGGACGUAUACGGUGUGACGCCUGCCCGGUGCCGGAAGGUUAAUUGAUGGGGUUAGCCGCAAGGCGAAGCUCUUGAUCGAAGCCCCGGUAAACGGCGGCCGUAACUAUAACGGUCCUAAGGUAGCGAAAUUCCUUGUCGGGUAAGUUCCGACCUGCACGAAUGGCGUAAUGAUGGCCAGGCUGUCUCCACCCGAGACUCAGUGAAAUUGAACUCGCUGUGAAGAUGCAGUGUACCCGCGGCAAGACGGAAAGACCCCGUGAACCUUUACUAUAGCUUGACACUGAACAUUGAGCCUUGAUGUGUAGGAUAGGUGGGAGGCUUUGAAGUGUGGACGCCAGUCUGCAUGGAGCCGACCUUGAAAUACCACCCUUUAAUGUUUGAUGUUCUAACGUUGACCCGUAAUCCGGGUUGCGGACAGUGUCUGGUGGGUAGUUUGACUGGGGCGGUCUCCUCCUAAAGAGUAACGGAGGAGCACGAAGGUUGGCUAAUCCUGGUCGGACAUCAGGAGGUUAGUGCAAUGGCAUAAGCCAGCUUGACUGCGAGCGUGACGGCGCGAGCAGGUGCGAAAGCAGGUCAUAGUGAUCCGGUGGUUCUGAAUGGAAGGGCCAUCGCUCAACGGAUAAAGGUACUCCGGGGAUAACAGGCUGAUACCGCCCAAGAGUUCAUAUCGACGGCGGUGUUUGGCACCUCGAUGUCGGCUCAUCACAUCCUGGGGCUGAAGUAGGUCCCAAGGGUAUGGCUGUUCGCCAUUUAAAGUGGUACGCGAGCUGGGUUUAGAACGUCGUGAGACAGUUCGGUCCCUAUCUGCCGUGGGCGCUGGAGAACUGAGGGGGGCUGCUCCUAGUACGAGAGGACCGGAGUGGACGCAUCACUGGUGUUCGGGUUGUCAUGCCAAUGGCACUGCCCGGUAGCUAAAUGCGGAAGAGAUAAGUGCUGAAAGCAUCUAAGCACGAAACUUGCCCCGAGAUGAGUUCUCCCUGACUCCUUGAGAGUCCUGAAGGAACGUUGAAGACGACGACGUUGAUAGGCCGGGUGUGUAAGCGCAGCGAUGCGUUGAGCUAACCGGUACUAAUGAACCGUGAGGCUUAACCUUACAACGCCGAAGGUGUUU
This 2931-nucleotide ribosomal RNA is filed under the name Escherichia coli. RNAcentral's name for it is "23S ribosomal RNA". It matches the Rfam family "Bacterial large subunit ribosomal RNA". Lineage: Bacteria; Pseudomonadati; Pseudomonadota; Gammaproteobacteria; Enterobacterales; Enterobacteriaceae. The record is from RNAcentral.